Lutra lutra (Eurasian river otter) is the source of this 457-nucleotide long non-coding RNA. RefSeq lists it as uncharacterized. The transcript has 3 exons. NCBI's taxonomy places the organism in Eukaryota, Metazoa, Chordata, Mammalia, Carnivora, Mustelidae. The record is from RefSeq and is a predicted model, not a curated record.
ACACUGAUUCCGGAACACUGCAGUAAAAGACCUUUUUCACCAGCAACAUUGACAGAAGGACUAAAAGGGGGAAAAAAUCCAUGACAAUCUGAAACAAACUAACAAACAAAAAACCCCUGUCAGGUUGCCUCAACUACAAUCUAGCUGAGAAAUUCUGACAUCAAGAUGCCCUGAAGGGCUGCAGCAGAAGCAGUGGGGAAAUCACACUCCAAGGCAGUUGUUGUAAUGGCCAGCCAGGGCAAGAGCUGACAGUAAAGAGAGUACACAUUACUGAGAGAUAAAAAGAGAGGCUGUCUUCUCAUAUCUGUCCUCAUACAUACUACUGUGGCUCCCUCAACUCUGUAAAGAAUGACUCUCAGAAGAACCCUGACCCAAAAGAAUCUAAAACAGAGGUCACAAACCCAAAUGCCAGCCAGGUAAUGCAAAUGAUUAAGGUAGACUAUAGAGAAGAAAAAUA